AACUUUCAUCUGAAUGUGGAUUGUGCUGAUGCAGAUCAGCUUUUCAUCUCGCAAUGUUCUGAUUCCAAGGUUCCAAUUCUAAUUCUGUAACCAGUGAUAUAUACAGGAUGCAGUGAACCUGACAGAAACCUGCAGUUCAGGAUCAGUCUCUGUGAAAUGCUUUAAAAACAGCUAUAAAUCCUGCGCAUGUCCAAAAUGCACACGUCCAGCAUAAAGAACCGUUUAUUUUCCUGGAAAAAACCCACCUCCCAGGCUUUAUAGAGAGAGAGAGAGAGAGAGAGAGAGAUGUAUGUUUAUACAGAUAAACAUUAAUUACUUUCCUCAACAAAACGCUGGAAAGAGAGAAUUAAGGAUGAAGAUUUCUAACAAGUUAGAUGAAUAAAUAUUUGAUUCAAAGAGAGGUGUAGAAAGGAACUAUUUCUCACUGUUCUCUAAGAAUCAUGACCACAUGUCUUGAAAUUAUUUAUUGUGUUGUGGAUAAAAAAUGUCAUAAAAUAAACAUAAGGGAGACCUAGCAUCCAGCAAAGGGGAGAGGAAGGACUGACGACGGGCACCUAGACACAUAGAAGCGGGAUUAGGCAGACAUUGACAAAUUGGAAUUACACUUUAAAGAUCUUUAAGAGCAGUAGUAGUCAAAAAGAGAUAUACGAGCUGAGCUGAGGAGUGCUAAUACACACACACACGCUCGUACAGUCAAGGGUGGGCAAGUAGACAUAACACACACACUCUCCCUCUCACACACUUACUACAAUAACUUUAUAAGAAUAAUAAAAAGGAAUAUUAAGAU
Long non-coding RNA from Ictalurus furcatus (blue catfish), 787 nucleotides. RefSeq lists it as uncharacterized. The record is from RefSeq and is a predicted model, not a curated record. The transcript is spliced from 3 exons. Lineage: Eukaryota; Metazoa; Chordata; Actinopteri; Siluriformes; Ictaluridae.